This 140-nucleotide ribosomal RNA is filed under the name uncultured bacterium. RNAcentral describes it as "partial 16S ribosomal RNA". It matches the Rfam family "Bacterial small subunit ribosomal RNA", at positions 355 to 491 of the family's 1533-position model. The record is from RNAcentral.
UGAGGAAUAUUGGUCAAUGGGCUUACGCCUGAACCAGCCAAGUCGCGUGAGGGAAGACUGCCCUAUGGGUUGUAAACCUCUUUUGUCAGGGAGCAACAACAUCUACGAGUAGGUGUUACGAGAGUACCUGAAGAAAAAGC